CUGAAACCUCCAUGACUCUGAAGCUUACUGACCCAAGGCAAAGGAGAAUAGUCACCCGGGCUUUUGGGUAAUGUCUCUCAUUUAUCGCAUCGAGGGCUAAUAAGGUUGGGGCGACGCAGAAUGUCUUCUACAUAGACGAUACCUCUUCUGUUUAUGACAACUAGGCCAUGAGGCUUGUUGUUCUUUAUCAAAUGGUGGAUGGGAUGUAAAGCAACAGUUUUCAGUGGGCAGAGUCAUCCUGCGUUGUGUUGGACUGAAAACACAGACCGCUUAACAUUUCCGACCCCAAUAAAUGCCCCUUGCUUCAUCCAUCCAGCCUCCACGCAGAAAUCUGAACGGCAACCCCCCCCGCCCCCCGCCAUAUUUCCAGAUGCUCUUUGGGUGGAAUGCAGUGGGAGGUGGUACCAUAUGGCUGGUGGUACCAUCCAUAGUUGGAGAUGAGACAGAGGAGUGAUGGGAGAGAAACGUACGCUGACCGGUUACUGGGAGAUUGUACGCUGAAGGGAUUUGAAGAAGAAAGGAAAGUGAGUUGGCCAGCGUUCUGACCUUUGAUGCCUCUGCACGUUUAGGACUCUGGAGGCUGCCAUGAUCAACCUGGGAUGUAGCUACGUCAGUCAGGAGGGGAGUGGGUGGGGGUCUGAACUUCAAACGGGAGAGGUGACUCUGCAGUACAGGUUGUAUUGGAACAGCCGAGGGAUUGGAGGAAGGAUGCUGUGGCCAGUUCGGGGUUCUAUAGGAUAAAAAAAGAGCUGAGGUGGAUCAGAGUCGGCCAGAGAGGGCUUCUGGGACUUCUUGGUCAAGGAAGCAAGCUGAGACAAACCAGAUGGCUGAAGACUCAAGUGAUGAAUGCUGGCAGCGCAGCACUUUUUGGUCAUCGCCAACCAAAUUUUAUGUUGCCACUUGCCCCGCGAUAGAAUCAAGAUCGUCUCCAUCUCCCUGACACCACAAAGCGAGUAAGAGAGCAAGGAUGGGCACGUGGCAGAGAGAGAGGGAGACAGAGGAUCUGAAGCAGGCUCCACGCUGAGAGAAUCACGAAGAAGAAAGGUCUACAACAGUACUUCUGUGUUGUAUUAAGAACCAAUCGAAUAUUACUGGAGGGAGUGUACCAGAACUGAUUAAAACCUGCCAGCAUUUUCACCCAAAUGUGCCUUGAAGUCAAGUAAUAUGAAUGACCCAUGGGUUCCUUUAUUUUUAUUUCGGAUCAUUUUAUUUUCCUUAUGACCACAGGAGAAAUCUACAAGAACUUCCUCCUGGAGAACUUUAAUAACAAGAACUGAUUCAUCUUUUAUGAGAGAAGCUGUCAACAUGGCAGAAAGC
This is a long non-coding RNA of Acinonyx jubatus (cheetah), 1317 nucleotides long. RefSeq lists it as uncharacterized. The transcript has 4 exons. NCBI's taxonomy places the organism in Eukaryota, Metazoa, Chordata, Mammalia, Carnivora, Felidae. The record is from RefSeq and is a predicted model, not a curated record.